This 1455-nucleotide ribosomal RNA is filed under the name uncultured Verrucomicrobiota bacterium. RNAcentral's name for it is "bacterial SSU rRNA". It matches the Rfam family "Bacterial small subunit ribosomal RNA". The record is from RNAcentral. Lineage: Bacteria; Pseudomonadati; Verrucomicrobiota.
AAUGAACGCUGGCGGCAUGGAUUAGGCAUGCAAGUCGAACGGCAGCCGGUAUCCGCUUGCGGAAACCGGCGAGAGUGGCGCAAGGGUGAGUAACACGUGAGCAACCUGCCCCCGAAUCGGGGAUAGCCCCGGGAAACCGGGAUUAAUACCCGAUACGGUGGCGCCGCCGCAUGGCGGCGCGACCAAAGAUUUUAUUGUUCGGGGAUGGGCUCGCGUCCCAUUAGCUAGUUGGCGGGGUAACGGCCCGCCAAGGCGAAGACGGGUAGGUGGUCUGAGAGGAUGGUCACCCACACUGGGACUGAGACACUGCCCAGACUCCUACGGGAGGCUGCAGUCGAGAAUCUUCCGCAAUGGGCGCAAGCCUGACGGAGCAAUGCCGCGUGAGGGAUGACGGCCUUCGGGUUGUAAACCUCUGUCACCGGGGACGAAGAAUUGACGGUACCCGGAGAGGAAGCCACGGCUAACUACGUGCCAGCAGCCGCGGUAAUACGUAGGUGGCGAGCGUUAUUCGGAUUUACUGGGCGUAAAGGGUCCGCAGGGGGUUCGGCAAGUCUGGUGUGAAAGCCCGCGGCUCAACCGCGGAACGGCAUUGGAAACUGUCGGACUCGAGAGCGCGAGAGGAAGGCGGAAUUCCAGGUGUAGCGGUGGAAUGCGUAGAUAUCUGGAAGAACACCGGCGGCGAAGGCGGCCUUCUGGCGCGUUUCUGACCCUGAGGGACGAAAGCGUGGGUAGCGAACAGGAUUAGAUACCCUGGUAGUCCACGCUGUAAACGUUGUGCGCUCGACGCGGGAGCAGCCGUUCCGGCUUUUUCCGUGUCCAAGCUAACGCGUUAAGCGCACCGCCUGGGGACUACGGCCGCAAGGCUAAAACUCAAAGGAAUUGACGGGGGCCCGCACAAGCGGUGGAGCAUGUGGCUUAAUUCGAGGCAACGCGAAGAACCUUACCCGGGUUUGACAUAUACCCGACGGUCCCGGAGACGGGGCUUCUCUUCGGAGCGGGUAUACAGGUGCUGCAUGGCUGUCGUCAGCUCGUGCCGUGAGGUGUUCGGUUAAGUCCGGCAACGAGCGCAACCCGCGUGUCCAAUUGCCAGCGAGUAAUGUCGGGGACUUUGGACAGACCGCCCGUGUCAAGCGGGAGGAAGGCGCGGACGACGUCAAGUCAGUAUGGCCCUUACGCCCGGGGCUGCACACGUGCUACAAUGGCCGGUUCAAUGGGAAGCGAUGCCGCGAGGCGGAGCCAAUCCCCAAACCCGGCCCCAGUUCGGAUUGGAGUCUGCAACUCGACUCCAUGAAGCCGGAAUCGCUAGUAAAGGCGCAUCAGCAACGGCGCCUUGAAUACGUUCCCGGGCCUUGUACACACCGCCCGUCACAUCAUGGGAGCCGGAUGCACCCGAAGUCGCCGGGCCAACCCGUUCGCGGGGGGCAGGCGCCGAAGGUGUGUCCGGUGACUGGGAUG